UGCUCGGAGAGGCUGGCUGGAGCUGACCCAGAGCAGGGGAGCAGUCGGAGCCCGGGUCCGGAGGCCGGCUGCGGGUGCUUCCCGGACGCGCUGGGCGCCCGGGCCCGAGGUCCGCGGGAGAUUGUGCUCCUGGGGCAGCGAAAACGGCCGGAAAACGAGGAAGAUGGCUCUGACAGCAAGAAAGCGGAUGGGCAGCGUGGAGAGACAGAUUUCACUUUGGGUUGCCUCUUUAACUUGUCCUAGAAACCUGAUGAAGUUACAACGUCAACUGUGUUAUAAAACAUCCUUGUUUGUGUCAGAAGUGCUCUCUGACUGGUACACUGCUUCUGGCUGGACAAAACGGAAUCAUCUUUAAACACCUGUCAGGAAGCCAGAAUUUGAGGAUCUCCCUUAACUGAGUUUGGGGAUGUAAAAGGUAAAUCCAGGCAACUAUUAUGAGAUGUGCAAGUUCCCACGGUCUAGGAUUCUAAGCCAGGGCAGUCCCGACGCCUUCAUCUUGCACCUGAGUUGCAUUUGGGGAACCACAGAGCAGCUCUGUGAGGAGCUCACGUGUGCUUACGUGGACUGCAAAGGGGAGCAUCUCAGAAUGCCCCGCUCCCAACGUGUGUUUUUUCUUUGACUUUUUAAAUGAAGCUGCUGCCAGGUGUCGCAUUACAGGAGUAUAAAUGGGCAACCUAAGAAGAUCUCCUACUGAGCACUUAACAAUGUCUUACAUCUCCCCCUGGAAAUCUUACAGGUUCUGCUUCGCUUUCAGUUAAAAGUGAACAUAGAAGCCUUACUCUUCUGUCAACAUGGACUGAAAAGUCUAGGGCCCCAUCCUCCUGCUAUAAGACAGAUUUUGCAACAAAAAAAAAAAAAAAAAUUGUUGGAUUGCUGGGCUUUAGAAAUUAAAACAAAUCUCCAGGGGAUCAAGAAAGAAGCAGGGAGGUGGGGGAGGGCGUGAGCUAUAAAUAGUGAGGGUAUAAGAAAGGCAGGUUUCCCUGAGGGAAGGUACCCCCUGUUGGCAUUGCCAGUAGGAAAUAAGCUCUUGGGCCUCUGUGGUGGUGAGAAUAUGAAUGUGAGGCUCCCGGUUUAAGCCAGAGAUCCUGGAAGGCCUUCCUCACAUUAUGCUCCCCUGUUUUUCACAGUUUAAGAUCAAGCAACUGUGGGGGGGGCCUGGGUGGCGCAGUCAGUCAUACAUCAGAUUCUUGAUUUCGGCUCAGGUCAUGACCUCAUGGUUCGUGACGUUGAGCCCUGCGUCGGGCUCUGCACUGACAGCACGGAGCCUGCUUUGAUCCUCUCUCUGCCCCUCCCCCACUCACACUCUCUCUCAAAAUGAAUAAACUUGAAGAAAGAAAAGAUCACAAAAUACACAGGAGAAGAAACCACAAUAAUUGAGAGUUGAAAAAAUAUAAACUGCAGAUUGCCCUCCCAAGGAGCUCAGAUACUGAAAUUCUCAGAAACAACACUACGUGAAAUGUUUAAGGAAAUGAGUUAAAGUGAGAAACCAGCAGGGGACCCCCAUAGUGACCGGAGAGCCGCUCUGUAUCGGUCCUCUUCUUUGCAGCCUUCUCUUCCGGAACAGUCUUAUCCUCAAGCCAUUAGGUGAUGCCGGUGGUGAUACCGACAGGGGCAGGGGAGAUGGAGAUGGCUUUGCUGACCCACAUCUGAGAAUCAGAACCCAGGCUCCUUACGAGCGAGAUCAAAACGGGGAGGAGUAUGUCCUUGCGGAUUGGCAGGCUGGGGUAAGGAGUCAGCUUGGCAGGAUGAGGCACUGGGGUCAGUGCGACAUGGAGAGUCCCGGCCCGGGCAGGACAGGAGGACGCCACCCCGGGGUGGGGGCCGCGUGUGAGCUGGCUGUAGCAGCAGGCGGUGAACUGGGACAUCAGCAUGCCAGCGCUGUGGGAGGGCUUCCACGCUGCUGGGAGGUGGUGGGGCCCAGGAGGUCAGAGCUGGGUGUGAGUGGUGAGAGCAUCUCCGUGGGCAGCAGAACCGCGGUGGGGACAGCCUGCCGCUUGUGAGCAAACAAACUGACCGCUCUCGCCGUGAUGACCGUUCCUGGGACGGCCCGCAGGCGGGGCCAGGGUCUGCAGACAAGAGGGAAGGAAGGUAACGAGGUUGACUUAUCUUCAUGACUGUAGGUGAUCUGUAGGAAGAGAGUUCUUGUCGGAAGUUCAUACUGAGGUACUUGUCAGUGAUGCAGCCUCAACUCAGAGGCUUAUUCUCAAAUGGUGCAAAGGAAAGGGUUUUAAUUUACUGCAUGUUGAACUUUUCGGUAAGUUUUUUGUUUUUGUUUUUGUUUUGCUUUGAAACAAAAAAAAUAUUAAAAACAAAAAAAAAGGGCUGAAAAGAAUGUUCAAAAAUGUAAUUGCAGAGGCGCUUGGUUGGCUCAGUUGGUUCAGCAUCCAACUCCUGAUUUUGGCUCAGGUCAUGAUUCCACAGUUUGUGAGUUCAAGCCCCGCAUCAGGCUCUUGUGCUGACAGUGUGGAUCCUGC
Molecule: long non-coding RNA, 2474 nt
Organism: Prionailurus viverrinus (fishing cat)
Lineage: Eukaryota; Metazoa; Chordata; Mammalia; Carnivora; Felidae
Exons: 3
Source: RefSeq, a predicted model, not a curated record